GGGGAAUUUUGGGCAAUGGGCGAAAGCCUGACCCAGCAACGCCGCGUGAGGGAGGAAAUCCUUCGGGAUGUAAACCUCGCAAGCAAGGGAAGAAUGCUUAGAACCUAAUACAUUCUGAGAGGGACGGUACCUUGCGUAAGCCACGGCUAACUACGUGCCAGCAGCCGCGGUAAUACGUAGGUGGCAAGCGUUGUUCGGAAUUAUUGGGCGUAAAGAGUGCGUAGGCGGUCCUGUAAGUUUGGUGUGAAAUCUCCCGGCUCAACUGGGAGGGUGCGCCGAAGACUGCAGGGCUUGAGUAUGGGAGAGGUAAGCGGAAUUCCUGGUGUAGCGGUGAAAUGCGUAGAUAUCAGGAGGAACACCUGUGGUGUAGACAGCUUACUGGACCAUCACUGACGCUGAGGCACGAAAGCGUGGGGAGCGAAC
This 423-nucleotide ribosomal RNA is filed under the name uncultured bacterium. RNAcentral describes it as "bacterial SSU rRNA". It matches the Rfam family "Bacterial small subunit ribosomal RNA", at positions 356 to 773 of the family's 1533-position model. The record is from RNAcentral.